RNAcentral lists this ribosomal RNA (172 nucleotides) under uncultured Methylobacterium sp. RNAcentral's name for it is "partial 16S ribosomal RNA". It matches the Rfam family "Bacterial small subunit ribosomal RNA", at positions 390 to 578 of the family's 1533-position model. Lineage: Bacteria; Pseudomonadati; Pseudomonadota; Alphaproteobacteria; Hyphomicrobiales; Methylobacteriaceae. The record is from RNAcentral.
AGCCAUGCCGCGUGAGUGAUGACGGCCUUAGGGUUUGUAAAGCUCUUUUCUCCGGGACGAUAAUGACGGUACCCGGAGGAAUAAGCCCCGGCUAACUUCGUGCCAGCAGCCGCGGUAAUCGAAGGGGGCUAGCGUUGCUCGGAAUCACUGGGCGUAAAGGGCGCGUAGGCGG